UGCCGAGGUGGUGGAAUUGGUAGACACGCAGGUUUCAGAUGCCUGUGGGGGAAACCCCGUGGAGGUUCAAGUCCUCUCCUCGGCAA
RNAcentral lists this transfer RNA (86 nucleotides) under Aquicella lusitana. RNAcentral describes it as "tRNA-Ser". It matches the Rfam family "tRNA". Rfam says of the family: Transfer RNA (tRNA) molecules are approximately 80 nucleotides in length. The record is from RNAcentral. Lineage: Bacteria; Pseudomonadati; Pseudomonadota; Gammaproteobacteria; Legionellales; Coxiellaceae.